Molecule: ribosomal RNA, 465 nt
Filed under: Vreelandella stevensii
Lineage: Bacteria; Pseudomonadati; Pseudomonadota; Gammaproteobacteria; Oceanospirillales; Halomonadaceae
Description: partial 16S ribosomal RNA
Rfam family: Bacterial small subunit ribosomal RNA
Source: RNAcentral
CCUACGGGGGGCAGCAGUGGGGAAUAUUGGACAAUGGGGGGAACCCUGAUCCAGCCAUGCCGCGUGUGUGAAGAAGGCCCUCGGGUUGUAAAGCACUUUCAGUGAGGAAGAACGCCUGGUGGUUAAUACCCAUCAGGAAAGACAUCACUCACAGAAGAAGCACCGGCUAACUCCGUGCCAGCAGCCGCGGUAAUACGGAGGGUACGAGCGUUAAUCGGAAUUACUGGGCGUAAAGCGCGCGUAGGUGGCUUGAUAAGCCGGUUGUGAAAGCCCCGGGCUCAACCUGGGAACGGCAUCCGGAACUGUCAAGCUAGAGUGCAGGAGAGGAAGGUAGAAUUCCCGGUGUAGCGGUGAAAUGCGUAGAGAUCGGGAGGAAUACCAGUGGCGAAGGCGGCCUUCUGGACUGACACUGACACUGAGGUGCGAAAGCGUGGGUAGCAAACAGGAUUAGAUACCCGAGUAGUC